Molecule: ribosomal RNA, 1021 nt
Filed under: Triplophysa aliensis
Lineage: Eukaryota; Metazoa; Chordata; Actinopteri; Cypriniformes; Nemacheilidae
Description: partial large subunit ribosomal RNA
Rfam family: Bacterial large subunit ribosomal RNA
Source: RNAcentral
AGGAAACUAAACCAUUUUUCCACCUUAGUACGGGAGACGGAAAGGGUAAUUUUAAGCAAUAGAGAAAGUACCGCAAGGGAAAGCUGAAAGAGUAAUGAAAUAAUUCAUAUAAGCACAAAAAAGCAGAGCUUAACCCUCGUACCUUUUGCAUCAUGAUUUAGCCAGCACCACACAAGCAAAGUGACCUUUAGUUUGAAAUCCCGAAACCAAGUGAGCUACCCCGGGACAGCCUAUUUGGGCGAACCCGUCUCUGUGGCAAAAGAGUGGGAAGAGCCCCGGGUAGAGGUGAUAAACCUACCGAACUUGGUGAUAGCUGGUUGCCUAAGAAGUGAAUAGAAGUUCAGCCUCGUACCCCUUUAGCCAAUCAAGAAAUGUCUAAGUAAGCAUAUAAGAGAAAUACGAGAGUUAGUUGAAGGGGGUACAGCCCCUUUAAUAAAGGACACAACCUUAAAUAGGAGGAUAAGAGUCACAUUUUAUAAAACUAGUCGUCCCAGUGGGCCUAAAAGCAGCCAUCUGAAUAGAAAGCGUUAAAGCUCAAACGACAUGCAGUUUAUUAUACUGUUAAAUAACUCAACUCCCCUAAAAGUAUUAGGCCGUUCCAUGCCCCCAUGGAAGAGACCAUGCUAGAAUGAGUAAUAAGAGGGUAUUGACCCUCUCCUAGCACAAGUGUAAGCCAGAUCGGACAAACCACUGGAAAUUAACGAACCCAUAAAAAGAGGGUAAUGUGUUUACUAAAGAAACCAAGAAAACAACACAACACUUGUAUCGUUAAACCCACACUGGAGUGCCAUCAAGGAAAGACUAAAAGAAAGGGAAGGAACUCGGCAAACACAAGCCUCGCCUGUUUACCAAAAACAUCGCCUCCUGCGAACCCCAAUGUAUAGGAGGUCCAGCCUGCCCGGUGACUACAAGUUUAACGGCCGCGGUAUUUUGACCGUGCAAAGGUAGCGCAAUCACUUGUCUUUUAAAUGAAGACCUGUAUGAAUGGCUAAACGAGGGCUUAACUGUCUCCCUUUUCAGG